UGGGGAAUAUUGGACAAUGGGGGGAACCCUGAUCCAGCCAUGCCGCGUGUGUGAAGAAGGCCUUAUGGUUGUAAAGCACUUUAAGCGAGGAGGAGGGUACUGGUAUUAAUACUACCAGCUACUGGACGUUACUCGCAGAAUAAGCACCGGCUAACUCUGUGCCAGCAGCCGCGGUAAUACAGAGGGUGCAAGCGUUAAUCGGAAUUACUGGGCGUAAAGCGCGCGUAGGUGGUUCGUUAAGUUGAAUGUGAAAGCCCCGGGCUCAACCUGGGAACUGCAUCCAAAACUGGCGAGCUAGAGUAGGGCAGAGGGUGGUGGAAUUUCCUGUGUAGCGGUGAAAUGCGUAGAUAUAGGAAGGAACACCAGUGGCGAAGGCGACCACCUGGGCUCAUACUGACACUGAGGUGCGAAAGCGUGGGGAGCAAACAGG
This 430-nucleotide ribosomal RNA is filed under the name Pseudomonadota bacterium. RNAcentral's name for it is "Proteobacteria bacterium partial 16S ribosomal RNA". It matches the Rfam family "Bacterial small subunit ribosomal RNA", at positions 355 to 776 of the family's 1533-position model. The record is from RNAcentral. Lineage: Bacteria; Pseudomonadati; Pseudomonadota.